Molecule: transfer RNA, 71 nt
Filed under: Bos taurus (domestic cattle)
Lineage: Eukaryota; Metazoa; Chordata; Mammalia; Artiodactyla; Bovidae
Also listed under: 1 other name
Rfam family: tRNA
About the family: Transfer RNA (tRNA) molecules are approximately 80 nucleotides in length. Their secondary structure includes four short double-helical elements and three loops (D, anti-codon, and T loops). Further hydrogen bonds mediate the characteristic L-shaped molecular structure. tRNAs have two regions of fundamental functional importance: the anti-codon, which is responsible for specific mRNA codon recognition, and the 3' end, to which the tRNAs corresponding amino acid is attached (by aminoacyl-tRNA synthetases). tRNAs cope with the degeneracy of the genetic code in two manners: having more than one tRNA (with a specific anti-codon) for a particular amino acid; and 'wobble' base-pairing, i.e. permitting non-standard base-pairing at the 3rd anti-codon position.
Source: Rfam by way of RNAcentral
UUCCAGGUGGUGCAGUGGUAAAGAAUCUGUCUGCAGUGCAGGAGACCCAGGUUCGAUCCCUGGAUUGGAAA